CCGGUUUAAGCGUGUAGGCUGACUUUCCAGGCAAAUCCGGAAGGUUAAGGCUGAGGCGUGAUGACGAGGCACCACGGUGCUGAAGUGACAAAUGCCCUGCUUCCAGGAAAAGCCUCUAAGCAUCAGGUAACAUCAAAUCGUACCCCAAACCGACACAGGUGGUCAGGUAGAGAAUACCAAGGCGCUUGAGAGAACUCGGGUGAAGGAACUAGGCAAAAUGGUGCCGUAACUUCGGGAGAAGGCACGCUGACAUGUAGGUGAAGCCCCUGCGGGUGGAGCUGAAGUCAGUCGAAGAUACCAGCUGGCUGCAACUGUUUAUUAAAAACACAGCACUGUGCAAACACGAAAGUGGACGUAUACGGUGUGACGCCUGCCCGGUGCCGGAAGGUUAAUUGAUGGGGUUAUCGCAAGAGAAGCUCCUGAUCGAAGCCCCGGUAAACGGCGGCCGUAACUAUAACGGUCCUAAGGUAGCGAAAUUCCUUGUCGGGUAAGUUCCGACCUGCACGAAUGGCGUAAUGAUGGCCAGGCUGUCUCCACCCGAGACUCAGUGAAAUUGAACUCGCUGUGAAGAUGCAGUGUACCCGCGGCAAGACGGAAAGACCCCGUGAACCUUUACUACAGCUUGACACUGAACAUUGAGCCUUGAUGUGUAGGAUAGGUGGGAGGCUUUGAAGCGUGGACGCCAGUCUGCGUGGAGCCGACCUUGAAAUACCACCCUUUAAUGUUUGAUGUUCUAACCUGGCGCCGUGAUCCGGCGUGGGGACAGUGUCUGGUGGGUAGUUUGACUGGGGCGGUCUCCUCCCAAAGUGUAACGGAGGAGCACGAAGGUCAGCUAAUCCUGGUCGGACAUCAGGAGGUUAGUGCAAUGGCAUAAGCUGGCUUGACUGCGAGAGUGACGGCUCGAGCAGGUGCGAAAGCAGGUCAUAGUGAUCCGGUGGUUCUGUAUGGAAGGGCCAUCGCUCAACGGAUAAAAGGUACUCCGGGGAUAACAGGCUGAUACCGCCCAAGAGUUCAUAUCGACGGCGGUGUUUGGCACCUCGAUGUCGGCUCAUCACAUCCUGGGGCUGAAGUAGGUCCCAAGGGUAUGGCUGUUCGCCAUUUAAAGUGGUACGCGAGCUGGGUUUAGAACGUCGUGAGACAGUUCGGUCCCUAUCUGCCGUGGGCGCUGGAGAAUUGAGGGGGGCUGCUCCCAGUACGAGAGGACCGGAGUGGACGCAUCACUGGUGUUCGGGUUGUCAUGCCAAUGGCACUGCCCGGUAGCUAAAUGCGGAAGAGAUAAGUGCUGAAAGCAUCUAAGCACGAAACUUGCCCCGAGAUGAGUUCUCCCUGAGACUGUAAGUCUCCUGAAGGAACGUUGAAGACGACGACGUUGAUAGGCCGGGUGUGUAAGCGCAGCGAUGCGUUGAGCUAACCGGUACUAAUGAACCGUGAGGCUUAACCUUACAACGCCAAAGAAGU
Molecule: ribosomal RNA, 1458 nt
Filed under: Cronobacter sakazakii
Lineage: Bacteria; Pseudomonadati; Pseudomonadota; Gammaproteobacteria; Enterobacterales; Enterobacteriaceae
Description: bacterial LSU rRNA
Rfam family: Bacterial large subunit ribosomal RNA
Source: RNAcentral